RNAcentral lists this ribosomal RNA (1434 nucleotides) under uncultured bacterium. RNAcentral's name for it is "bacterial SSU rRNA". It matches the Rfam family "Bacterial small subunit ribosomal RNA". The record is from RNAcentral.
GUUUGAUCAUGGCUCAGAACGUACGCUGGCGGCACGCCUAACACAUGCAAGUCGAACGAAGUAGCAAUACUUAGUGGCAGACGGGUGAGUAACAUGUAGGUAUCUGCCCUUUGGCCUGGAAUAACACGAGGAAACUUGUGCUAAUACCGGAUAAGUCUUUACGGAGAAAGCUUUAUGCACCAUUGGAUGAGCCUGCACUUGAUUAGUUUGUUGGUGGGGUAAUGGCCUACCAAGACUGUGAUCAAUAGCUGAUUUGAGAGGAUGAUCAGCCACAUUGGGACUGAGACACGGCCCAAACUCCUACGGGAGGCAGCAGUGGGGAAUCUUGCACAAUGGAGGAAACUCUGAUGCAGCGAUGCCGCGUGAGUGAAGAAGGCCUUUGGGUUGUAAAGCUCUUUCGUCGGGGAAGAAAAUGACUGUACCCGAAUAAGAAGGUCCGGCUAACUUCGUGCCAGCAGCCGCGGUAAUACGAAGGGACCUAGCGUAGUUCGGAAUUACUGGGCUUAAAGAGUUCGUAGGUGGUUGAAAAAGUUGGUGGUGAAAUCCCAGAGCUUAACUCUGGAACUGCCAUCAAAACUUUUCAGCUAGAGUAUGAUAGAGGGAAGCAGAAUUUCUAGUGUAGAGGUGAAAUUCGUAGAUAUUAGAAAGAAUACCAAUUGCGAAGGCAGCUUUCUGGAUCAUUACUGACACUGAGGAACGAAAGCAUGGGUAGCGAAGAGGAUUAGAUACCCUCGUAGUCCAUGCCGUAAACGAUGUGUGUUAGACGUUGGAAAUUUAUUUUCAGUGUCGCAGCGAAAGCGAUAAACACACCGCCUGGGGAGUACGACCGCAAGGUUAAAACUCAAAUGAAUUGACGGGGACCCGCACAAGUAGUGGAGCAUGUGGUUUAAUUCGAAGAUACGCGCAGAACCUUACCAACACUUGACAUGUUCGUCGCGACUUUAAGAGAUUAAAGUUUUCGGUUCGGCCGGACGAAACACAGGUGCUGCAUGGCUGUCGUCAGCUCGUGUCGUGAGAUGUUGGGUUAAGUCCCGCAACGAGCGCAACCCUCACUUUUAGUUGCCAUCAUUUAGUUGGGCACUCUGAAAGAACUGCCAGUGAUAAGCUGGAGGAAGGUGGGGAUGACGUCAAGUCCUCAUGGCCCUUACGUGUUGGGCUACACACGUGCUACAAUGGUAUCUACAACAGGAAGCAAAACUGCGAAGUUAAGCAAAUCCUUAAAAGAUACCUCAGUUCGGAUUGCACUCUGCAACUCGAGUGCAUGAAGCUGGAAUUACUAGUAAUCGUGGAUCAGCGUGCCACGGUGAAUGCGUUCCCGGGUCUUGUACACACCGCCCGUCACACCAUGGGAGUUGGUUCUACCUUAAGGCAAGGUUUUAAACCCUUGACCACGGUAUAGUCAGCGACUGGGGUGAAGUCAUAACAAGGUAACCG